GUGACAACAAAAGCCUUGACCUAAUAUUUGACCCUACCUGCUUUUUUCUCAUGUGUUGCCAUCUCCCAGCCAUGGAAGAGCUGAGAUGAAGCUCUGGGCUGCCUACAGGUUUUCAGGAAGUGAUGACAAGUACCUCAGCUGCUCUCCCCCGCUUUCCACGUAUUGUUUCUGGAUUUGUCAGGGAACACACUGACACACACUGAGGCUGCUAUUUUUUAAUUUCUUCCAUUUUCUUUUUUUUUUUUUUUUUUUUUUUUUUUUUGGUCAGGUUUGAUGCUGAAUACAAACAGAUGCUUUGUUUAGAACAUGAUGGGGAAGAAAAACAUGGCUUAGGGUUAACACCCUCCUAGUGUUUAUCCAUAAAUAUGGAAUAGUGCAAGAACACCAGAUACCUAUGGAGCACUGUGAUUGGCUGCUACUGAUGUCAUUCUGAUGUCACUCAGAAGUGAUCAGUAUGUCACCCAGCAGAUGAACAGAUCAGCUUUCCUCAUUUGUGUGUAUAAAUUCCAUUUCAUAGUGGCACACUUUGGGGCAUUAUCGUACUUUUUGAGUUUUGGAGGACAUCUAGGCCUUUUCCUGAGCCUGUCAAUAUUUUGCUUGGCACACAUAAAUGUGUCCUCCCUCUCUGCUUUUUUCUCUCAUGGAUUGAGUCACAGAGAAAUGUGAGCAUUUACACUUCUGAAGUAGGUGUGAAUGGGACUGAAGGAAUUACAUGGAGGAUUCUGAACUCCCCUUCUUCCUGCUCCGGGAAAGACGGGUGAGUGUAUUAUGAAAUAGUUUAUAAUUAACUCAGUCCUUGCUUCAG
RNAcentral lists this long non-coding RNA (805 nucleotides) under Cyanistes caeruleus (blue tit). Its description in RNAcentral is "lncRNA (ENSCCEG00000000851.1)". Lineage: Eukaryota; Metazoa; Chordata; Aves; Passeriformes; Paridae. The record is from RNAcentral.